UACGAAGGGGGCUAGCGUUGCUCGGAAUCACUGGGCUUAAAGGGUGCGUAGGCGGCGCUGCAAGUGCCUUGUGAAAUCCCAUCGCUUAACGAUGGAACUGCUCGGUAGACUGCAGUGCUUGAGGUUGGUAGGGGCUGCCGGAACUCUAGGUGGAGCGGUGAAAUGCGUAGAUAUCCGGAGGAACACCGAUGGCGAAGGCAGCUGCCUGGCCUGACACUGACGCUGAGGUGCGAAAGCGUGGGGAGCGAACGGG
This 253-nucleotide ribosomal RNA is filed under the name uncultured bacterium. RNAcentral describes it as "partial 16S ribosomal RNA". It matches the Rfam family "Bacterial small subunit ribosomal RNA", at positions 524 to 776 of the family's 1533-position model. The record is from RNAcentral.